AUGGACUACACAUACGGAUGUAUAUAGACAUAUUUUAGAGUGUAGAUUCACUCAUCUGCAGCCGCCGAUAACUCCGACCCUGAGCUCCAUCCGUCGCUGCCCCCUACCCCGUCCGCCUGCCCCGGAGUCGCAGCCGUGGAUAGCCCCAUCAACCGCAACCUUCACCAGCCACACACAAACCUUCCGAAGACAAAUUCCAGUGAGCGACGCAUUUGUGGGAUAAAAAAAUCUCAGUAGCCGUGUCAUUCCCGUCCGUUGCACUUUCCAUUGGCGGAGGGGGCAAAUCUUGAUUCAGGCGGCACAUCGUGUGUUUGAUCUGUUCAUUGACAUGAUCUUAUCUCCUCCAUCUCUUGGCUUUUAUAUCAAGGUUCCUAUUUGCUGUUGAAAUCUCAGAAGAAAUUUAUGGAAGGUUUGUCUAUCAUUUCCAAUUUAUAUUCGCAGGUUAGUCUUCCCCAAAACUGACAAUUUCUGCAAUUAUUUUGGGCUGCUUUGGUGGUGAGACUGAAGGCAGUAUUCCAUUUUCGCCAAGCAAAGCCAGCGCUACCUGUUUCUGAAUUGCAUCGGGGAGGGGCGAGUGGCAAGAUAUAUUGCCUUAGGAAGCAGAGAACUUCUGUGGCUUUUCCGGAAGGAUUUGCUGCAUGAGUUGCUUUUAUUUACAUAUAGUUUGUGUGAACAAGUCAGUCUAAUAAUCCCAAUAUGGUGACCAAUAGCAUGCUAAUUUCUUGCAGGAUCAGCUGAAACAGCAAGGCUUGGGCAAGCAAAAGAAGAGACAGAGAGAGAUAGCCGAGCAUCAUGCCAAACGGAGGCCGAUUUCCGAGGAAGCUCACUGAGACCAGCAGUGACUCUGGCGCAAACGUCAAACGCCUUGAGCAAGAGACGAACAUAAAGAUCGAAAAGCUGAAGCAGCAGGCAACAAACAUCUCUCUAGAGGUGAUUCAGAUGCCUCUGAGGUGCUGGAACAUGCUCCCGUUUUCCUGACUCGUAUAGCAGAAUUGUUUGCUUCAUCUCCAGAGAAACUGGAUCAAUUGUGCAACCAUGGAUAGGUUGCACAAGCUCUUAGCUUAAUACUCCCUCCGCCCAACAUAAGUGUCUCAACUUUGUACUAACUUUAGUACAAAGUUGUACUAAGCUUAAGACACUUAUUUGGGACCGAGGGAGUAGCUGUUAGCAACUAGGCGGGACAAGCAUCACUGGGGAGUAAUUCAUGUUCUGUCAAUAUGUGCAAGUGGAUCUUCAAUGGCAGCUAAAACCCUCCUCCUCCAUGGAAUUAGUGGCACACUUAAGAUAUCCUUUCAGGUUCUGGUUUGGUUGCUGGUACAACUGUAUCCCCCACUAGGCCAGCUGAUUAGGUGAUUAUUGCUUUAUUAAGUUUAGGAAUCACUCACCCUAACCAGCGUGUUGAUGAAUUGACAAGAUGACUAGCUCUCUAGAUUUUUCACUUUCCUUUACAUAUUACAAAUUCAAAUCUGUCGGUCCUAAUGUCCUAUUGAUUAGAAGAAAUGAUAAAAAUUACUGAUACACUUCACUGGUGAUAUUACUUUGUUUUCAUGACUAACACAGUUAGAAUGCGCAGAGCUACUCUGUUGCUUUCCAUUUUGUGCGUGAUAUUGUAGCAUGUUAAUUUGGAUAUCCAAGACACAGAUUCUCUCUUUCCUUCUUUGCAAUAUCUAAUUUCGAGUGUGUUGCUUUUCCUUUUUCAUUGCCUACUUGGAGUGAUAUUGUAGCAUUUUAUUGCAUGCCACUGUAGGGAGUAAACUUGCUGUGUGGUACAUGAGAGCAUGUAUAUAAUGAUGGGUAAGAUCAAGCUUUUUACCAAUUUAUACUGAUUUAAACUUGUUGAUAUGGCGAUAGGGUGUCCGGUGUACAUGAUUGUCGAUUAAAUUUUUAUAUAAACUUCUUCCAAUUUGUUCCACUAUGGAUAUGGACCUUUUUUCUAUGAACUCCCUUUUAUACCUUGGUCUGUUUUUGUUCGUGGUGCAACUUAAGACCAUCCUAACAUAUUGGCUUAUAUUGUCAUUUUUCUGAAAGACACAUGAUCAGGUCUUAGGGUAUAGCGUUUUCAUAAUUUCAGAUUAGCUAUCUCAGUCUCAAAAUUUAUAGAUUGGGUGGAUCGUGUGCGGGUACAUCAACAAGAAGUUCGGGAAUAAUUACAGGGCGACGAUCCUAGAUCCCCCCGCCUCCGACUCGAGCAAGGAGCAGCUGCUGCCCCAACCUCGCACCGCCGACCUCACACCGGCCCAAGCAGGGGUGGCACGCCUCAUCCUCAUCUUCCUCUCAGCGCAGAUAGAGAUGGCGGCGGCUGGAUCUGGCUAAGUGGCCAGUGAGGAUGACGGCUUCACCCCCCCGCCCCCAGUCAAAGUCAACGGCCACUUCCAAUGGGCGUCGCCAUGUUCUUCCUCACGCGUCGCCGACCGGCAGUGAGAAAGAGGACAUCGUGAGGCUCGAGGAGGUUGCCAUCACCAACGGCGAAGAGGACGAGGACCUCCUACUCGAUAUGACAACUCAGCCGUGAACUUUAAAAGAGCAAACAAGGUUCUGGUAUUGGAGUCUGAGCUGGUGGGAAAGUGAUCCAAGAAAUUUAUAUAGCGUUACCUGAAUGCACAAGAGUUGCUGCUAGGACUCCAUCAGUACAGUGCUUUCGGGUUACGGAGAGAUAUCCCAAGGACUACAUCCAUCCACAUGAUGUCGCAUAACCAAUGAAACUUGCGGAUGGUGAUGUCUCCGUUAUUUCCUGCCUCAUUGAAAGAACUGCCAAGAAGGCCACCAUCACAACAAAUUGGACAGAGUUUCGUCGUGACACCAACGUCAAAGAAGGUGACAUUUGCCUUCUACUUCAGAUACCAGGCAAGGCAUUCCAUGUAGGUUUCUACCGGUCUCUCUUAGUCCUGUUACAUAUGCUUCAACUGUGGCUCUACUUUUGGACGCCGUUGCCUGAGUUUUGAACCAUCUUACCGUAUCUGUAAUGGAUCCUAUUGUGAACUAUUCAUCGUAUUUGCAAUUCAUAUAAGAUAUCUAUAUUUUAUUCGCAUGCAACUGAUGUAUUUAUGAUCCCUCUUUG
This is a long non-coding RNA of Triticum dicoccoides, 3058 nucleotides long. RefSeq lists it as uncharacterized. NCBI's taxonomy places the organism in Eukaryota, Viridiplantae, Streptophyta, Magnoliopsida, Poales, Poaceae. The transcript is spliced from 8 exons. The record is from RefSeq and is a predicted model, not a curated record.